Molecule: long non-coding RNA, 359 nt
Filed under: Gallus gallus (chicken)
Lineage: Eukaryota; Metazoa; Chordata; Aves; Galliformes; Phasianidae
Description: lncRNA (ENSGALG00010023318.1)
Source: RNAcentral
GCCCAGUUAACCUUGCUGUUUAACAGUGUUUUAAACCUCGUAGAACAAGAAGAAAAGUAAUACUUCAAGGCAGAGCACAGUGAGCUAAAGCUCUGACCAUCCUAUGUCACCUGGGGCACAUGUAACACAAUUACUGAAGCUGAUGAUCUAAACAUGAAGAAAAAAAGUGCAGUAACACAGUAAAAAAUACCCAUUAUUCACACAACCGUGUGUAAGGAAAGCACAGAGGAGAAGUUUCUUCUGAUGAUUUAUGGUGUUCAAUAGCAAAAAGGAAUACUUUGUCAAAGAGCAGUCAGUACCAAGGACGUUGCAUGAACUAUUAGACCUAAAGAGUGCCAGCAACAGAAAUUAUGGAACCA